This 508-nucleotide ribosomal RNA is filed under the name uncultured Hypocreales. RNAcentral's name for it is "eukaryotic LSU rRNA". The stretch from base 150 to 303 matches the Rfam family "5.8S ribosomal RNA". Lineage: Eukaryota; Fungi; Ascomycota; Sordariomycetes; Hypocreales. The record is from RNAcentral.
GCGGAGGGAUCAUUACCGAGUUUACAACUCCCAAACCCCUGUGAACAUACCAUUUGUUGCCUCGGCGGUGCCUGCUUCGGCAGCCCGCCAGAGGACCCAAACCCUUGAUUUUAUACAGUAUCUUCUGAGUAAAUGAUUAAAUAAAUCAAAACUUUCAACAACGGAUCUCUUGGUUCUGGCAUCGAUGAAGAACGCAGCGAAAUGCGAUAAGUAAUGUGAAUUGCAGAAUUCAGUGAAUCAUCGAAUCUUUGAACGCACAUUGCGCCCGCCAGUAUUCUGGCGGGCAUGCCUGUUCGAGCGUCAUUUCAACCCUCAAGCCCCCGGGCUUGGUGUUGGAGAUCGGCGUGCCCUCCGGGGCGCGCCGGCUCCCAAAUAUAGUGGCGGUCUCGCUGUAGCUUCCUCUGCGUAGUAGCACACCUCGCACUGGGAAACAGCGUGGCCACGCCGUUAAACCCCCCACUUCUGAAAGGUUGACCUCGGAUCAGGUAGGAAUACCCGCUGAACUUAA